CAAAUGGGGGAUCUCAGAAGUCUUAAUGAAGUAACUAUCCCUGAACACUGGGAUCAAUACUCAGAAUCCAGCCGUCAAAUCAACACCAAGCCGCCUCCUGGAACAGAUUGUUAAGCUGAUGCGAGUCUGGGCUCUGCCUCACCACUUGUCUCAGAGACAGAGUCUUGCUCUGUCACCUAGGCUGGAGUGCAGUGGUGCCAUCACAGCUCACUGCAGCCUUGACCUCCCCGUGCUCAAGUGAUCCUCACACCUCAGCCUCCCGAGUAGCCGGGAUCACAAGUUAAACAAACACAGUUCUUUACAUCAAUGCUUCCGUCCCUGGCCAUCUGGUCUCCUGUCCCCUCCAGAACCAAAACCAUGGGCUGUGCUGCAGCAAAAUGAGGAUGUACUCAGUGCACUGAGGCCCAUGUACCAUGAGAGAUGG
Molecule: long non-coding RNA, 424 nt
Filed under: Pongo abelii (Sumatran orangutan)
Lineage: Eukaryota; Metazoa; Chordata; Mammalia; Primates; Hominidae
Description: lincRNA
Source: RNAcentral